AAACCAGCACUUCAAGUGGUCAGGAUGAUUAUUGGGCCUAAAGCAUCCGUAGCCUGCUCUGUAAGUUUUCGGUUAAAUCUGUACGCUCAACGUACAGGCUGCCGGGAAUACUGCAGAGCUCGGGAGUGGGAGAGGUAGACGGUACUCGGGAGGAAGUGGUAAAAUGCUUUGAUCUCUCGAUGACCACCUGUGGCGAAGGCGGUCUACCAGAACACGUCCGACGGUGAGGGAUGAAAGCUGGGGGAGCAAACCAGAUUAGAAACCCCGGUAGUCC
This 274-nucleotide ribosomal RNA is filed under the name uncultured bacterium. RNAcentral's name for it is "partial 16S ribosomal RNA". It matches the Rfam family "Archaeal small subunit ribosomal RNA", at positions 473 to 747 of the family's 1478-position model. The record is from RNAcentral.